UGGGGAAUAUUGCACAAUGGGCGCAAGCCUGAUGCAGCCAUGCCGCGUGUGUGAAGAAGGCCUUCGGGUUGUAAAGCACUUUCAGCGAGGAGGAAGGGUAGUGUGUUAAUAGCACAUUGCAUUGACGUUACUCGCAGAAGAAGCACCGGCUAACUCCGUGCCCGCAGCCGCGGUAAUACGGAGGGUGCAAGCGUUAAUCGGAAUUACUGGGCGUAAAGCGCACGCAGGCGGUUUGUUAAGUCAGAUGUGAAAUCCCCGCGCUUAACGUGGGAACUGCAUUUGAAACUGGCAAGCUAGAGUCUUGUAGAGGGGGGUAGAAUUCCAGGUGUAGCGGUGAAAUGCGUAGAGAUCUGGAGGAAUACCGGUGGCGAAGGCGGCCCCCUGGACAAAGACUGACGCUCAGGUGCGAAGGCGUGGGGAGCAAACA
Molecule: ribosomal RNA, 427 nt
Filed under: uncultured bacterium
Lineage: Bacteria
Description: partial 16S ribosomal RNA
Rfam family: Bacterial small subunit ribosomal RNA
Source: RNAcentral